GGCCACCCACGCACGCACGACUCAGUCAGUUUCGUGUUCGUUGCCUUUCAUCCUCAUCUCCCCACCUCCGCCUUCGAAGAGCAGCGCUAGCAACUGCAGUUGGCCGCUACCUGGCAUCUCGAUCCCCUUCUGACCUGGGCGGCGAUAGGCAAAAUCGACGGGGCCUCGCGCAGCGGUGGCCCGGACCUGGAGGCAGCUGCAGCAAAAUCGAAGGCGUGGCUUGGAGGCAGCCCGGACCUGGGCGGCGGGGUAGCAGAAAUCAAGGGCCGCGGGCCUAAUCGCGCCCAGGAAUACCCCUAAGACGAUGGAAUCUCUGGCGCCGGGGCGGACGGUUCCGCCGACGCCAUCGAUCAUGAAGUCUCCCCACCGCCCUUGAUCCCCUUCGAGACGCCACCUCGCCUGACCAACAUACCCGCGUCGCGGCUGCCGUCUCGCUCGACGUUUUUCUCGAUUCUGCCCGUCGCCGCCCACGCUGAUUAAAAUGCACUAGAUCAUCGCCUAGAUGCCGUACAGGUUCUUCGUUCUCUACAGGUUUCCUGUUGGCACCGUAUAAAUUUGCACUUUUUUUUUAUCUGUGGUUGCAGCUUGAUGUAUGUUGCCACUGGAUGUUAUACUUACGGCCUGAAUGGCUGCCGUAGUAAGAACAGAAUAGGUCGUAUAUUCAGAUGAUAAGAGCCAGAAGGAGAUUGUCGAGCUGCUUGGCUUGUGAGUUGUGACUGCUCCUCCAAGAUCGGACCCUGUCUCAGCGCAAUGACAGGACAGGAUGUCUCCCUGGAGGAGCUCAAGGGAGCAGACAAAACAAGGAGAAAGGAGCUAGAAAGUAGAAGUUAUCGUGAUAACCUGCAAGCUUUACCGCACAGGACCGUCUGCAAUGGAUUUGAGAUAUCGCUGCACCGGAGUACCAGAUACAUGAAAUCGAUUAUUUUGUUCUGCUAAUGGGGCAACCUGGCCGACGGUAUCUUUCCAAACUAGAUAUCUACGAACAAUGUAUCUUCUUAUCUUUGUGAUGCCUCAUAGCAAUGCGGGUAUCUGAAUGUUGUAAUGUUUCUUUUAUUCAUAUGUUGUUGUGUUAUUAUUUUUGAAAUAUUACGUGUGGCUAUCUUUUUAUUGGUUUUGAAAUAUUAUGUGUGACUAUCUUUUUAUGUACAUGUGAACUUCCAUAUGUAUUAUGUUUGCAUAUGUUGCAAGAAUUUAUUUGAGUCUCCAAGAACAGUUUUGAAUUGGAUGAUCGUCAAAUUACCCAGGUUGGGUUUAAACUCUUGGUUACUUUGUGGUUUAUUUGCAGUGCCUUCUUGGUAUUCUUUCAUUAUUCACAGAUCAGUUCAGUACCAUUUGUUGCCAAAAAGGCGCAGGUCAUAUAUGUGUACCAUAUUAAGUAUCUUUGCAUUGAGCAUUCUUCAAGUGUAACUUUGUUGAAAAAUAGUCACAAAACUGUUAGCAUAUCCAAAGCUUUUGGUUGAGAAAAGGAAUAUCCAGCGCUUUAGAAUUUAAAGUUUGCAGAAGGCCUCCGAUCCUUGGAAAAAAAUAGGUAUCAAGGAAAUGCAGAGAAACAAAAGUUUCUUAACCUCGCCUCUAAAGAAGCACAAUGAUCAUGAUACUGUUGGGAUUUCACAAGUAAAACUAAAAAGAAAUGCUCCAACAACACUAGCCUUUUACAAAAAAAAGUACUACUCAUUUUUCAUAGUACUGAUCUUUGUGAUUCUUUGUUAAUAGGGUCGUUUAGCACAGUGAUAAUUCUCAUGUGCAGAUUCUUCUCUUCAAGACGUAUAUUUAACAUAGCUUUGAAUUUUGCAGUUACUAGCCACUGAUACAUGUUCAUCAGGUCAAGCUACCUAAUUACUUUGACAAGGAUGCAGAUGACUUACCAAGUGGCCAUGGAAGAGGACGUGGCCGCCGGGGAUGGGCAGGGGAAGAGGUAAAUAUCCGCCAGUUUACACUAAUUGAAUUUGGCGUGUCUCUGCAAAUUGUGCGAUCUUGAUUCUGCCGAUUAAAAGAACUUGAUUCAUUGUUCAGCCAUUUGUAACAUGCAUUUGAUGUUCAUAGGUAUCUACAAGAGCUCUCUCUUAUGUGUGUCUUUAAGGGUUACUCUUGGUACUAGGGCUUUGUUUUGCCGAACAUCAUCUCAACCAUGAGUACACGAUAGAAAUUGUGAGACAAAGCUAAGGGAUAGAUGGACCUUCGUAAAAUAGAACUGAUCAAUCGUCUUUAGUCAUUAUACUGGUCAUGUACGUACUUACCUUUAAGUUUGUUGUUGAAUUCCUGUAAUUGUUAAUACUGCAAUGCAUGAAUAAUUAUUAGUACUACCUCUGUCCAUAAAUAGAUACCAAAAGUUUAUCUAAAUUUGAAUGUAUCUAGCCACAAUUUAGUGUAUAGAUACAUCCGAAUUUAGAUAAAUCUUUGGCAUCUAUUUAUGGACGGAGGGAGUAGUAUACAUGCUGAUUAUUGUCUAUAAUGAAUAGGCACUUCCAGUGGUUUAAAUUUUCUUGACAAUUUUUGCUUGUACUAAGUUAUUUUUUGGAUGCACUGAAGCUUAGUUUGUUCAUCCAUUUAUAUAUAAUACAUGAAAUAGUCUAAGCCUGCAUAUAGGAUGCUUAUUUACCUUCUACCUAAAACUUGUUGGAGAAGAUGGAGUUUUUUGUCAUCUUCCGAAUGUUGAUUUAGCCUCGUAUACUGUGCUUACUACCUCUGGUGAAGAGUCUAUACUAUCGUUUUUUCAAGGGAAAUCUAAAAUCUGAUCUCAACUGUAAGAAGCCAGUUCUUGCACUUCCAUGUGGAAUGAGGAGGUCUCCAACCACUCCCUACUCAUGAUGGAGGCUCGCGUCCGCGAUCCGGUAAUUAAAAGAUAGGAGCUAGCAGCUGGACAUGCACAUCCCCACCACUGGACUGAUGCCGUAUGAGCAGGUGCAGAUGUGGAAGAAGCUACUUCCGGGUUGAAAAAAAUAUAUUAGUACUAUUAGCUCUUGUGUGAUUGACAUGCAGUUGACUUAUCAGAUCAUGUAAGUUGUGUGUGUUGUACUGAAGUGGUAAUAGGCAAGUUAAAUUAUGUUUUGUCAA
Long non-coding RNA from Lolium perenne, 3054 nucleotides. RefSeq lists it as uncharacterized. Lineage: Eukaryota; Viridiplantae; Streptophyta; Magnoliopsida; Poales; Poaceae. The record is from RefSeq and is a predicted model, not a curated record.